GACGAACGCUGGCGGCGUGCCUAAUACAUGCAAGUCGAGCGGACUUAGAAGGAGCUUGCUCCUUCUAAGUUAGCGGCGGACGGGUGAGUAACACGUGGGCAACCUGCCCUAUAGCAUGGGAUAACUCCGGGAAACCGGGGCUAAUACCAAAUAAUCCAAUCCAGCUCCUGCUAGAUUGUUGAAAGAUGGCAUCUCGCUAUCGCUAUAGGAUGGGCCCGCGGCGCAUUAGCUAGUUGGUAGGGUAAUGGCCUACCAAGGCGACGAUGCGUAGCCGACCUGAGAGGGUGAUCGGCCACACUGGGACUGAGACACGGCCCAGACACCUACGGGUGGCAG
Molecule: ribosomal RNA, 336 nt
Filed under: uncultured Bacillota bacterium
Lineage: Bacteria; Bacillati; Bacillota
Description: bacterial SSU rRNA
Rfam family: Bacterial small subunit ribosomal RNA
Source: RNAcentral